UGACUUGAUCUAUCUCUUACU
This 21-nucleotide non-coding RNA is filed under the name Caenorhabditis elegans. Lineage: Eukaryota; Metazoa; Nematoda; Chromadorea; Rhabditida; Rhabditidae. The record is from RNAcentral.